GGCCUUGGCCUUAAAAUGAUUUGGCCUGCCCAAUGAUCAUUUUAAUGGCUGCAGUAUUUUGACUGUACAAAGGUAGCAUAAUCAUUUGUCUUUUAAUUGAAGUCUGGUAUGAAUGGUUGGAUGAGGAAUUUACUUUCUUUAUUUUAAAAAUUAAAUUUAAUUUUUGAGUCAAAAAGCUUAAGUUUAUUUAAAGGACGAGAAGACCCUAUAGAACUUUACUUUUCUUUUUAUAGGUUUAUUUUUUGUAAGUAAUUUUUUACUAUUUUGGGAAAAGUUUUAUUGGGGUGAUAAAAAAAAAUUUUUAACUUUUUUUAUUUUUCUCAUUUAUUUAUGAUUUUUUGAUCCUUUAUUAUGGAUAAUAAGAUUAAGUUACCUUAGGGAUAACAGCGUUAUUAUUUUAGAGAGUUCAUAUCGAUAAAAUAGUUUGCGACCUCGAUGUUGGAUUAAAAUUAGUGUCAGGUGCAGAAUAUUGAUUACUGGGUCUGUUCGACCCUUAAUUUUUUACAUGAUCUGAGUUCAGCGCGC
This 525-nucleotide ribosomal RNA is filed under the name Sycanus bifidus. RNAcentral describes it as "Sycanus croceovittatus partial 16S ribosomal RNA". It matches the Rfam family "Bacterial large subunit ribosomal RNA", at positions 1830 to 2619 of the family's 2925-position model. The record is from RNAcentral. Lineage: Eukaryota; Metazoa; Arthropoda; Insecta; Hemiptera; Reduviidae.